This 547-nucleotide long non-coding RNA is filed under the name Canis lupus familiaris (dog). Its description in RNAcentral is "lncRNA (ENSCAFG00000058964.1)". Lineage: Eukaryota; Metazoa; Chordata; Mammalia; Carnivora; Canidae. The record is from RNAcentral.
UGUUUGAAAUUUGUUCAUUUUCCCUCUCUUAAUUUAUUUAGAGCCGGGUGAAGGAAACUUGGAAUGUAUAUGGUGUCAUUUUUAACUUUGAAGAAUAAAGAUAAUCUAUGGUUUAGCUGAAAGCACUUGGAGAGAUGAAUCUUGAAAGAUACCAAGAAGGACUCAUCAAAUAUUACCUGGGAGACAUGGCCUUGAAAGCAUAACCUGUGAAUAUAAUCCAUCUGAGACAGCACUUAACUCCAGACAACUCAAUGAUCAACUCAGAAAAAGCAGCAAACAUGAAAAUUCUAUGGCUGAGGCCAUAUUGCACAUCCUUGGAGGACUGUUAACAAGAAGAGAAAAGAAAAUCUGUGGUCACUGACCAGACACUGGACAGGUAAUAUACUAAGACUCUAAAUAUCUACAAAGGCAGUCUUAUUUGUUCUACGUAGAAAUUUCUGAGAAGGCCCUGAGUCUGAUAGAAUAUAUACCAUAGGGUAAGCAUUCAGUUCAUAUGUGGUAACAACGAUGGAUUUGGGGCCAAAUAUAUUUUGAGAACUGGAGUUUU